Lycium barbarum (goji berry) is the source of this 6110-nucleotide long non-coding RNA. RefSeq lists it as uncharacterized. The record is from RefSeq and is a predicted model, not a curated record. The transcript is spliced from 3 exons. NCBI's taxonomy places the organism in Eukaryota, Viridiplantae, Streptophyta, Magnoliopsida, Solanales, Solanaceae.
UUUUCGUUCGCUAGGAUUUCUCAAAACCCUUAGCGCCGCCAUGUGAUUCUCUCUCUUCUCUGUGAAAUUUUCACCAUUUUUGGCAAAAAUUCAGAGUGUACAAGGGGUUGACAGGGGUGUGUCGCUAUUUUGAGGAAAGGCAUUUAUUGCCUCUUCCUCUUUCAUCCAAUUUUCAAACAAACGAAGCAUAAAAGUAGACAGGGAGACGGUGUGGAUCCGUAGGAGUUUAUCAGUAGAUUCACAGGAGCACUCCAUUAUUGUGGAGGUGCUACUUAUGAUCAUAUUCUUUUGUGUGUGUGUGUGUGUAUAUAUAUAUAUAUAUAUAUAUAUAUAUAUAUAUAUAUAUAUAUAUAUAUAUAUAUAUUUUGGGCACGACGGGGUCCUAUCCCGUCCUUAUGUCUAGUACUCUAGUAGAGGCUCGUAGAUACGUACGUGUGGGUAGUUGAUGUCCCAUGAUGAUCACAUUGUACUUUUGUAUAUCAUUUUUGUAGCCGUGAGGGCUUAUGUAUAUAGACAUGGGUUGCUUUGGAGAUUAUAUUUGUUCACGUUGAGUAUGAUGAUUAUCCUAAUGAGUGGUGCUCAGUAGUCAGCUCCGGGUACCCGUCAUGGCCCCCUAGUCGAGUCGUCACAAAAGUGGUAGCAUAGCGGUUCCGUCCUAGGGUGUGUCUACGAGUUGUGUCCAGCAGAGUCUUGUUUAUGGAUGUGAAGCGCGCCACACUUAUAAACAAGAGGCUGCGAGGCAUUUAUGGAAAAAAAACCAUUCUUUUUAUUACUAGAUCAUGCGAUAGAGCCAUGUUAUAAGAUUUUCUCCUCCCUAAUUAUGCGUUAUGAUUUAAGUGAUGCCGGUAAAGAGGAAAGCCACAUCCGCCCAGAAGGGAAAGGCUACGACAGAAAGGCGGAUAGAAAGGGAGCUGCCAACUAAUGUAGAAGAAGGUGAAUCUCAUAAUGAGGCUCCAUCUAAUACCUCUCACACUCCGCCUAUUCUAGAAGAGCAAGAGGGGGCUUCAGUUCCUGCUCCUAUACCUCCAGUUCCUCCAUCGGGUGCUUCGAGUUAACAAAAGACCGAAGCUAUUAAGUUAUUGACGCAGUUAGUUUCCGCUUAGGCACAGCGGCAGAGUACGGGCUCAGGUGAUAGGGCGACUAGUGCUAGAGCCCGUGAUUUUAUGAGUUUGAAUCCCCCAAAAUUUUUCGGGUCAAAGCCGGAUGAGGGCCCGCAAGGCUUUAUUGAUGAGAUGCUGAGAACGCUGACAAUUAUCCAUGCCUCCGAUACUGAAUCUGUAGAGUUAGCAUCUUAUAGACUUCGAGAUGUGGCGGUUCUUUGGUACAAUAACUGGAUAUCUUCAAGAAAUAAAAAUGCACCUCCCCCAGUUUGGUAAGAAUUUGUAGAUGCUUUCCUUCGCCAAUAUUUGCCACCCGAGGCUCGAAGGGCUCGAGUCGACAAGUUUCUAAUUUUAAAGAAGGGGAAUAUGAGUGCCCGGGAGUAUAGCCUUCACUUUAAUUCAUUGGCUAGAUAUGCUCUGACUAUGGUGGUUGACAUGGGAGAUAGAGUACAUAUAUUUGUGAGUGGAUUAGGCCACAUUUAUUUAAAGAUUGUUUAACAGCUUCAUUGCAAGAGGGGAUGGAUAUUUCCCGUAUUCAGGCCCAUGCCUAGAACUUAGAAGAGCAGCAACAUCCGCAAAGGGGGGAGCGCGAUAUUGAUAGAGGGCAUGGUAAGAGGGCUAGAUAUGUUGGUACCGGCAGCGACUAUAGAGAGGGAUCAGGGCAGUCAUAUUCUAGAUAUUUAGGCCAGUCGGCGACUAGUGCACCUCCUCAGUUUGUGGGCAGAAGAUUUAACCGCCCCAUUCAUUCAGGACAGGGUCAGAGCUCGAGAGCUUCGGGUUCCCAGUUUGGAGGUGAUUAUAGUCAGAGGAGACCACCGGUCCCACGAUGUAGUCAGUGCAGAAAGUUACAUUCGGGCCCGUGUCAUCAAGGCUCCGAUGCUUGUUAUGUUUGUGGACAGACUGGGCAUGUGAUGCGUGAUUGUCCCUCGAGGUACGGUAGAGGUGGAGUUCAGCCCACAGGAUCAACAGCUAGUACUUCUUCAUCUGUGCGCCCGAUAGGGCAGACUCCCCAGAUUCCAGCAGGUCGAGGUAGAGGCAGAGGGGAAGCAUCCAGUUCAGGUGGUGCCCAGCCCCGUAUCUAUGCUCUAGCCGGACGACAGGAUCUUGAGUCCUCCCCGGAUGUGGUUACAGGUAUACUAUCUAUAUUCUCUCAUGAGGUUUAUGCAUUCAUAGAUCCGGGUUCCACAUUGUCUUAUAUUUCUGGCCGUAUUAGGGUGAAACCCGAGCCAAUUAAACCCUUUGAGGUAUGUACCCCGGUUGGUGAUCCCGUAAUAGGUAGACUAAAGUUGUAUAAUUCUGGUAUGUGAUCGUCAGGCUAAAGUUGAUUUAGUUGAGCUAGAAAUGUUAGAUUUUGAUGUGAUUAUGGGUAUGGAUUGGUUGGCCUCUUGUUAUGCCAAUGUCGAUUGCCGAAUGAAAGUAGUUCUAUUCCAAUUCCCGGGAGAACCUGUACUAGAAUGGAAAGGUAAUACAGCGUCUCCUAGAGGUAGGUUUAUUUCCUACCUUAAGGCAAGGAAGAUGAUAGCAAAAGGCUACAUUUAUCACCUGGUUCGAGUUCAUGACACCGAGGCAAGGCCACCGACCUUUCAAUCUGUCUCGGUAGUGAAUGGAUUUUCGGAUGUAUUUCCAGAUGAACUUCCAGGUCUUCCUCCGGAAAGAGAGAUUGAUUUUGCGAUUGAUGUGUUACCGGAUACUAAACCAAUCUCCAUUCCUCCUUACCGAAUGGCUCCUGCAGAAUUGAAGAAGCUAAAGGCACAACUAAAAGAUUUGCUAGAAGAGGGGUUUAUUAGGCCCAGUUCGUCACCGUGGCGAGCACCUGCCCUAUUUGAGCGAAAGAAAGAUGGUUCUGUACGAAUGUGUAUUGAUUAUAGGCAACUGAGUAAGGUGACGAUAAAGAAUAAAUAUCCGCUACCUAGAAUUGACGAUUUCAACCAAUUACAGUGUGCCAAGUGGUUUUCCAAAUUAGAUCUGAGGUCAGGGUAUCAUCAAGUGAGAGUUAGAGAAGAAGAUAUUCCUAAAACAGCUUUCAGAACAAGAUACGAUCAUUAUGAGUUUCGGGUGAUGUCGUUUGGGUUAACUAAUGCUCUGGCAGUGUUUAUGAAUUUGAUGAAUAAUGUAUUCAGGCCUCUCUUAGAUUCGUGAUAGUGUUUAUUGAUGAUAUUCUAGUAUACUCUCGGACAGAACCCGAGCAUGCAAACCAUUUGCGUAUUGUCCUUCGCAUUCUUCGAACUCGUGAAUUGUAUGCUAAGUUUUCGAAAUGUGAAUUCUGGUUGAAUUCUGUAAAUUUUCUAGGCCACAUUAUUUGAGUUGAUGGCAUUCGAUUUGAUACUCAGAAAAUUGAGGUUGUGAAGACUUGGCCAAGGCCUACAACACAUACAGAAGUCCGUAGUUUUCUGGGUUUGGCAGGUUACUAUAGAAGAUUUGUGGAAGGAUUUUCCUCUAUUUCAACACCAUUGACGAGGCUAACUCAGAAAUCGGCGAAGUUUCAGUGGACUGAUGCCUAUGAAUGUAGUUUCAAAGAAUUAAAAGACAGAUUAACUUCAGCCCCAGUCCUGAUACUCGCAGAAGGGACAGAUGGUUAUGUUGUGUAUUGUGAUUCCUCCGGUGUCGGAUUAGGCUAUGUAUUGAUGCAACAUGGUAAAGUCAUUGCCUAUGCUUCAAGGCAUUUGCGGAGACAUGAAAAGAAUUAUCCAACCCAUGAUCUUGAAUUGGCCGCAAUUAUUCAUGCACUACAGAUGUGGAGACACUCUUUGUAUGGUGUACAUGUUGAUAUUUAUACAGACCACAAGAGUCUCCAAUAUAUCUUCAAGCAGAAGGAGUUAAACCUACGGUAGAGACGGUGGUUAGAGCUACUGAAAGAUUAUGAUGUGAGUAUCUUAUACCACCCCGGAAAGGCGAAGGUAGUAGCUGAUGCACUUAGCCGUAAAUCAAUGGGAAGUCUAUGUGAGGUUCCUUCGAAGAAGAAAGAAUUAAUGCGUGAGCUCCACUAGCUAGCCAGCCUCGGAAUUUGCCUAGUUGAUUCGGGCAAUGCAAGAGUCAGUAUUCAUAACCCAACUGUUUCAUCCUUAGAUAUGGAGGUGAGAGAGCGCCAAUAUGCAGACCCUCAGUUGAGUUACUAUAGAGAUUCAUUUCCUGAGAAAGAGAAGUCAUCAUUUGAAAUUUCUGUAGAAGGAGUUCUUAGGUACCGAGACAGGCUAAGUGUUCCGAAUGUUGCGGGACUACAUCGUCGAAUUCUAGAAGAAUCUCAUUACUCCUGGUAUUCUAUUCAUCCAGGGGAGACAAAGAUGUAUCAAGACCUCAAGCUAAUGUAUUGGUGGGAUGGAAUGAAGAAGGACAUAGCAGAAUUUGUAGCUUAACGCCCAAAUUGCCAACAAGUGAAAAUUGAUCAUCAAAAGCCAGGAGGAUUGUUACAAGCCAUAGAAAUCCCAACUUAGAAAUGGGAAGUGAUUAACAUAGAUUUCAUUGUAGGGUUACCCCGCUCCCGAAGUAAGUAUGACUCCAUAUGGGUGAUCGUGGACAGACUCACAAAAUCAGCUCAUUUUCUUCCAGUCAGAACCACAUAUUCAGCAGAAGAUUAUGCAAGGUUGUAUUUUAAAGAGAUUGUGUGAAUUCAUGGUGUCCCGAUGUCUAUUGUUACAUAUAGGGGGGCACAAUUUAUAGCCAAAUUCUGAAAGUCUUUCCAAGAAGGUUUGGGUACUCAGGUAAGGCUCAGCACGCGUUUCAUCCACAAACUGAUGGGCAAGCCGAACGCACUAUUCAGACCUUGGAAGAUAUGUUACAGGCAUGUGUGCUAGAUUUCGGUAGUAUUUGGGAUGACCACCUACCUCUUAUUGAGUUUGCAUACAAUAAUAGCUAUCAUUCCAGUAUUCAGAUGGCCCCGUAUGAAGCUCUGUAUGGAAGGAAGUGUAGAUCUCGAAUCGGGUGGUUUGAAAUAGGAGAGGUACAGCUAAUAGGUCAUGAGUUGAUUCAACAAGCAGUAGGGAAGGUCAAGGUUAUCCGAGAUCGACUAGUGACAGCCUAAAGUCGCCAGAAAUCUUAUGUAGACAACCGUCGGCGAGACUUAGAAUUCCAAGUUGAUGAUUAGGUAUUCUUAAAGGUAUCACUGAUGAGAGGAGUGAUAAUAUUUGGCAAGAAGGGAAAAUUGAGUCAUCGAUACAUUGGACCUUAUAAGAUUGUCCACAGGAUAGGCCAAGUAGUAUAUGAACUAGAUCUACCUUCAGAACUUGACUCAUUCCAUCCAAUUUUUCACGUAUCAAUGCUCUGUAGGUAUGUCGGAGAUCCUACUAGGAUCGAGCAGGUAGACGAUGUUCAAGUUACGGAAAAGUUGACUUAUGAGGAGGUACCCAUUGCCAUACUAGAUAGGCAAGUACGGAGACUUAGGAACAAAGAAGUAGCUUCAGUCAAGGUUUUAUAGAGGAACAAUAACCGAGAGGAGAUGACUUGGGAUGCGGAAGAAAACAUGAAGUCCAAGUACCCCCACUUGUUUCAACCCGCGGAAGAGAUUCAAGAUAAAAUAUCAACAUUAUGAGGUUUAUGUGAUUUAGAAGUGAUCGGAAGAAACCAAGUGAAAAUAAAGUCAAAAAGAGGUCAAAUUGGACAAAACUGUCAAAAGUGGACAGUUUUGCAAAAACGGGACAGAUUUGCAAAAAACGGGCAGAACUGCCAAAACGAAAAUGUGGGGCAUAUUUUGUCAUUUUUUUGAAUUGGAAAAAUUGGGAAACAUAAAAGGAAGACUAGGGGGCAAAAUAUUUUCAUCUUUGGCACAACACACAAGUUCUUGGAGGCUAGGGUUCAUCAUCAACACCUUGGAAGAGAAGAUUUAGGAGGCACCCAAUGAGAAAUUCUUUAUCCAUUUCUUCUACUCUUGUUUUGUAUUGAAUAUUUAUGUGUGUAGUAUUUCAUUUCAAUACUUGAACCUUGUUUAUGGAAGUAUACAUUGUUUAAGUUGGAUUGAAUCUCUUGUUUUGCUUAUGUGUUGAAUGAUUUUAUUCCUAAUGAAGUGGGUUAUUAUUU